This 486-nucleotide ribosomal RNA is filed under the name uncultured bacterium. Its description in RNAcentral is "partial 16S ribosomal RNA". It matches the Rfam family "Bacterial small subunit ribosomal RNA", at positions 30 to 507 of the family's 1533-position model. The record is from RNAcentral.
AUUGAACGCUGGCGGCAUGCCUUACACAUGCAAGUCGAACGGCAGCACGGGUGCUUGCACCUGGUGGCGAGUGGCGAACGGGUGAGUAAUACAUCGGAACAUGUCCUGUAGUGGGGGAUAGCCCGGCGAAAGCCGGAUUAAUACCGCAUACGAUCCACGGAUGAAAGCGGGGGACCUUCGGGCCUCGCGCUAUAGGGUUGGCCGAUGGCUGAUUAGCUAGUUGGUGGGGUAAAGGCCUACCAAGGCGACGAUCAGUAGCUGGUCUGAGAGGACGACCAGCCACACUGGGACUGAGACACGGCCCAGACUCCUACGGGAGGCAGCAGUGGGGAAUUUUGGACAAAGGGCGAAAGCCUGAUCCAGCAAUGCCGCAUGUGUGAAGAAGGCCUUCGGGUUGCAAAGCACUUUUGUCCGGAAAGAAAUCCUUGACUCUAAUACAGUCGGGGGAUGACGGUACCGGAAGAAUAAGCACCGGCUAACUACGUG